Molecule: small RNA, 29 nt
Filed under: Bombyx mori (domestic silkworm)
Lineage: Eukaryota; Metazoa; Arthropoda; Insecta; Lepidoptera; Bombycidae
Description: ovarian small RNA-22784
Source: RNAcentral
UAGGUCUGACGACUUACUGUGAUGAGUUA